Long non-coding RNA from Mytilus trossulus (common blue mussel), 618 nucleotides. RefSeq lists it as uncharacterized. The record is from RefSeq and is a predicted model, not a curated record. The transcript is spliced from 3 exons. Lineage: Eukaryota; Metazoa; Mollusca; Bivalvia; Mytilida; Mytilidae.
AAGUCAUGCAUCAGUGGUUAUAUUUAUUGUAAGACUUUGUCAUGGCUCAGUGAGUUCUGAUAUAUUGGUUAUACAUGUAACAGUCUAGGUUUUACUAGUUUGUGUUAUGAAAACUCUGUUCUGUAUGAUAAUUGGUUAAUUAAGUCAUGUUUCAAUUUCGAGGGAAAUUCUAUUGUUUGGUGAGAAUAGGAUUUAUUUUGAACUAAAAAGUGUUAUGUUGUUAGUAUUCAUAAUUUGGUGGACAGGAUAAAAACAUAAGGAUUAUUUAAUCAUGUGGUCAUUAAUAAACAUCUGUAAACAAGAGGAAUCACAAACCCUGUUAGAAAGUACCAUCAGACUGGAACCCAUUCUAUCAUACAUCAGUAUCUAAAAAUGGGAAAAGACAUCAUCCAGUAUGUUGAGAGAGGUUCAGAACAAGCUAUUUUGUUUGAGGAGGAGUUGUCAGCACGUCAUAAUUGAAUAAAGUCAAUUGUAUUAGAAGUGAAGUCUAAACAGAAAUGAGACAAUUAUCAAAUAAUUCAAAGACUACAUGGAUGUUAUCUGGACUAACAUUUGUAUGACCCAAAUGUGGUAUUUUUCAUAUGAAGACUUACAAGGCAAAUAAUUGGCUGUGGCAAA